Molecule: ribosomal RNA, 492 nt
Filed under: uncultured bacterium
Lineage: Bacteria
Description: bacterial SSU rRNA
Rfam family: Bacterial small subunit ribosomal RNA
Source: RNAcentral
AGAGUUGAUCAUGGCUCAGGACGAACGCUGGCGGCGUGCCUAACACAUGCAAGUCGAGCGAGGAGAUCCUUCGGGAUGAUCCUAGCGGCGGACGGGUGAGUAACACGUGGGCAACCUGCCUCAUAGAGAGGAAUAGCCUUCCGAAAGGGAGAUUAAUACCUCAUAACAUUGCAGUUUCGCAUGGAACAGCAAUUAAAGGAGCAAUCCACUAUGAGAUGGGCCCGCGGCGCAUUAGCUAGUUGGUGAGGUAACGGCUCACCAAGGCGACGAUGCGUAGCCGACCUGAGAGGGUGAUCGGCCACAUUGGGACUGAGACACGGCCCAGACUCCUACGGGAGGCAGCAGUGGGGAAUGUUGCACAAUGGGGGAAACCCUGAUGCAAGCAACGCCGCGUGAGUGAUGACGGCCUUCGGGUCGUAAAGCUCUGUCUUCAGGGACGAUAAUGACGGUACCUGAGGAGGAAGCCACGGCUAACUACGUGCCAGCCGCAGC